GAGGAAACGUGUGACAAAAUACCCGUAGAGAACAGCUCUUAAUUUUCUGCAGGUUCUUUUUGAGAAACUGGCGAUAGAGACCUACUUGCUGAAUGUCUCUCCCGGGGGGCUGACCUACAUUGCCGAGUGGCGAGGGGGGAUUCUGGACCACAAGAUGGGGCACCUGGCCUGUUUCUCCGGGGGCAUGAUCGCCCUUGGCGCCGAGGAUGCCAAGGAAGAAAAGAGGGCCCACUACCGAGAGCUCGCAGCCCAGAUCACCAAGACGUGUCACGAGUCAUACGCCCGCUCAGACACCAAACUCGGGCCUGAGGCCUUCUGGUUUAACUCCGGCAGAGAGGCCGUGGCCACCCAGCUGAGCGAGAGCUACUACAUCCUCCGGCCAGAGGUGGUGGAGAGCUACAUGUACCUGUGGCGACAGACCCACAACCCCAUCUACAGGGAGUGGGGCUGGGAGGUGGUGCUGGCCUUGGAGAAAUACUGUCGGACAGAAGCCGGUUUCUCCGGGAUCCAAGACGUGUACAGUAGCAACCCCAACCAUGACAACAAGCAGCAGAGCUUCUUUCUAGCGGAGACACUAAAGUAUCUCUAUCUUCUGUUCUCUGAAGAUGACUUGCUCUCCCUGGAAGACUGGGUGUUCAACACUGAGGCCCACCCGCUCCCGGUGAACCACUCAGACAGCUCCAGCAGGGCCUGGGGCAGAUACUGACCCCAUCUCCCGCCGCCGCCCUGGGGCCGCCGCAGGGAUGCCUUGCCUUUUCAGGAUUUGGGACUGUUCUCAAAGGGAUUGGGAACGAAGGCCCCAUCUCGGGCAGACCCCCAGCAGAUGUGUCGGACAAGCAACUUCUUUUCCUCUGUGAGGAGACAAGACUUGGAGACGCAGCGAUGUCAGGCCA
This 893-nucleotide small RNA is filed under the name Pongo abelii (Sumatran orangutan). RNAcentral's name for it is "processed transcript". Lineage: Eukaryota; Metazoa; Chordata; Mammalia; Primates; Hominidae. The record is from RNAcentral.